CUAGAAUAAAAGUAGCUAUGUUCUUCAUAACUCAAAGAAUUUGGCGGUUAAUAAAAAUUUUUAGAGGAACCUGUGUAGUAAUUGAUAAUCCACGAUAGUGCUUACCUUAAUUAUAUUUGUAUAUCUCUAUGGUUUAUAAGAUUGUUUUAAAAGAACAUUGUCUUUUAGAUUACUCUUGUAUUUUAGGUCAAGGUGCAGUUUUUUUCAGGUUGUCAUGGGUUACUUUAUUUUAAUUUAUUAUUAUUAUUUGUCUUUUUGAUUAAGUAUAAUAGGAUUUAAAAGUAAAUUAAAUUAAUUAGUUUAUUUGAAUAUU
Molecule: ribosomal RNA, 313 nt
Filed under: Aconophora mexicana
Lineage: Eukaryota; Metazoa; Arthropoda; Insecta; Hemiptera; Membracidae
Description: partial 12S small subunit ribosomal RNA
Source: RNAcentral